GUGAACCCCCCUGGACGUAUACUAAAUGUAUCCUGAGUGUUCAAUUCUUCCGGUAUACCUUUAGUAUACGUAACAGGAGACGUCAC
RNAcentral lists this microRNA precursor (86 nucleotides) under Trialeurodes vaporariorum (greenhouse whitefly). Its description in RNAcentral is "microRNA mir-iab-4". Lineage: Eukaryota; Metazoa; Arthropoda; Insecta; Hemiptera; Aleyrodidae. The record is from RNAcentral.